Molecule: non-coding RNA, 1340 nt
Organism: Podarcis lilfordi (Lilford's wall lizard)
Lineage: Eukaryota; Metazoa; Chordata; Lepidosauria; Squamata; Lacertidae
Source: the annotation of a GenBank genome assembly
UUAAAAAAAGAGAGAGAGAACGGGUACUCGUGUCUUCACUAGGUGAGUCACAACACUUCCUUGCAUACAAAAGUUCAAACUGCAUUGCUCAGGAAAAUGCAUCUUACACAUUUCCAAACCUGCUUUGCUAAUCUGGUGCUGGACAGCAGGCAAAAUAUAAAAUUAAUUCCAUAAGCUGCUUCAUACCCUCUCUAGAAAAAAUCCGAUUGUAACUUUGAAUUGGAUUUUGUACCUUAAUCUAGUGGCAAAUAAUUACUUCUGUAUCUUGCAUAACUUUGUUCUGUGCUUCAUUUCCUAUUGUCUGGUGGUCAGGUGUCUUGGGAACAAAGGAAGCAUCUUUUCAUAGUUUCCAGUGCAAAUUGUUUCCAGUACAGGUUGUAACAGGAUAUAUACUGCACAAUUAUAUACAAAUGACUUCAAUGGCUCUUAUUCCCAGCUAAGUGGAUAAAGAGUGUAGCCAUAGAUUUUCUCCGCUUAAUAAAAAGGAAGUCUAUAUUAAGAACAAGUUCCUCUGUCCUUUAAAAUUAUGCUCAUUUUCUUCUUGGUUAAAAUAUGGAAAGUAAACAAAACAAUUUUCACCAGCCAUUUAAAAGGGGUUAUUUAAUAUAAAUGUUAUUUCAUAUGACGUAAAACCACUUCUAGAAAUCUUAACAGGAUAAAGCGCAAGUUAAGCACCCAUUUCCAUGUUCUUAUCUCCCAGGGGCCAAAAUCUGUUUCACACUGAGCUGCCAAGCAGAGUAGCAGGCCAUCACCUGGCCAGAGCCUCCCACCUCCAAUCUGCUCAGCCAUUCACAAAAAUAUGGUUGCAGGCACCCCAGUCUCCAAGUGGCAAGAGACUCCAGGGAUUUCAGUUUCCUUGGGAAAAAGAAACACCAUGAUGCAGCUGUAGCAUCACAGCCUGAUGUCUUCAUCUGCCCCAGCUGCAACAAACAUGUCUCUCCUGUCUCUGUCUCUAUAGCAACAGCAGACGCUGUAACCCAUGGGUAGGCAAACGAAGGCCCAAUAGCCUUCUAAAUCCGGCCCGCGGACGGUCCGGGAAGCAGCGUGUUUUUACAUGAGUAGAAUGUGCCCUUUUAUUUAAAAUGCAUCUCUGGGUUAUUUGUGGGGCAUAGGAAUUCUUUCUUUUUUUUUCCUUUCCAAAAUAUAGUCUGGCCCCCCACAAGGUCUGAGGGACAGUGGACCAGCCCCCUGCUGAAAAGGUUUGCUGACCCCUGCUGUAACCUUCCAACAGUUUAACUUCACUUCCCCAAAGGCACAGUCCUCCAUUCUCUCCAGAGACAAAUGUAUGCCAACAAAUCCUCACUGGGAGGUGGGAAAAGAUCCCACCCAUACAUCUCUAU